Molecule: small RNA, 1026 nt
Filed under: Arabidopsis thaliana (thale cress)
Lineage: Eukaryota; Viridiplantae; Streptophyta; Magnoliopsida; Brassicales; Brassicaceae
Description: ATSL295060
Source: RNAcentral
UUUCAAUUUCAUUCCCUAGUCCCUACCGUAUUUGCAAAGCCAUGUCACAGAUUCUCAUUUGUCUACCCCAAAUAUAGCUGUCAAAUGGUCCGUCCAGGGACCAUUGGGCGUGUCCGUAUGGACAGUUUUUUUUAUGGGCCAAGUUGGACGGUCCAUAAUGGACAAUGGUCCGAAAAAUGUCCAUGCCCAAUAAAGACCAUGUCCAUAUGGGCAAGCCCAUGUAUAGCCCAUUUUAUUAUUGAUAAAUCAAAAAUCAUGAUUUUAAAGAAUUGUGUUUUUGCAUUUUGCAUUUUUCCGACAAAACGGUAAAAUUGUGUUUUUCUUACCAAUACAAUAAAAUCACGAUUUUGGCGGAAAAAUUAUGAAAUUGUUUUUUCCCGCCAAAACGGUAGAAUCGUAAAAUUGUUUUUUCCCGCCAAAACGAAGAAUUGUGUUUUCUCACCAAAACUGUAAAAUUGUGUUUUUCGCCAAUAUAAUAAAAUCACGAUUUUGGCAGAAAAAUUACGUUUUCCCGCCAAAACCGUAAAUUCGGAGAAUUGCGUUUUCCCGUCGAAACUGUAAAAUUGUGUUCUCGCCAAUAUAAUAAAAUCGCGUUUUAGAGGAAAUUUGCGGAAUUACGUUUUUCCGUCAAAAUCGUAAAAUCGGAGAAUUGUAUUUUUCCCUCAAUUCAUGCCCAUGGGCAGCCCAUUGUCCAUAUGGUCAAGCCCAUAUUAUCCGCGGACAAAACUGGUCAUAUGCCCAAUUAGACCAUUUGUUUUAUGGUCCGGAAUAUAGCCCGUCCAUAUGCAUUUGGACUGGGCAACCCCAUGGGCCGCCUGUCCAAUUGACAGUUCUAACCCCAAAGAUGAGAGAUUCAUGAAUUUUUCACAUCUCUUGAAAAUUAGGGUAGCUUCGGUUCGGGAUAUCUUGAUUAUCCAAAACAAAUAGAAAACUAUUUCUCUCAUCAAAUUGAGUUUUUUUCUCUAUAAUUGAGUUUGUCAUCAAAUUGAGUUUUGCAAGGCUAGCUCCGUUUUAACAUAUAUAUAU